UGAGUAAGCUAGACGGUCGCGCUUAGAGCAAUCUAGGUGAGGAAAGUCCGAGCUCCAUAGGGCAGGGUGCCAGUUAACGGCUGGUGGAGGCGACUCUAAGGAUAGUGCAACAGAAAUAAACCGCCAUGUUACGUUACAUGGUAAGGAUGGAAAGGUGAGGUAAGAGCUCACCGCUUUCUUGGUAACAAGAGAGGCAUAUGUAAACCCCACUCGGUGCAAGACAUUAAAGUGUGAUGGCGGCCCGCUUAGCACUUGGUUAGUCGCUUGAGCUUAUUGGUGACAAUAAGACUAGACAGAUGACCGUUCAAGACAGAACUCGGCUUAUCGGCUUGCUCACUUU
RNAcentral lists this RNase P RNA (340 nucleotides) under Firmicutes bacterium HGW-Firmicutes-2. Its description in RNAcentral is "RNase P RNA component class A". It matches the Rfam family "Bacterial RNase P class A". From Rfam's summary of the family: Ribonuclease P (RNase P) is a ubiquitous endoribonuclease, found in archaea, bacteria and eukarya as well as chloroplasts and mitochondria. Its best characterised activity is the generation of mature 5'-ends of tRNAs by cleaving the 5'-leader elements of precursor-tRNAs. The record is from RNAcentral. Lineage: Bacteria; Bacillati; Bacillota.